Molecule: ribosomal RNA, 301 nt
Filed under: uncultured bacterium
Lineage: Bacteria
Description: partial 16S ribosomal RNA
Rfam family: Bacterial small subunit ribosomal RNA
Source: RNAcentral
CAGUCGCCGCGGGAACACGAAGGGUGCAAGCGUUACUCGGAAUUACUGGGCGUAAAGCGUGUGUAGGUGGUUGUUUAAGUCUGUCGUGAAAGCCCUGGGCUCAACCUGGGAAUUGCGAUGGAUACUGGGCGACUAGAGUGCGGUAGAGGAUAGUGGAAUUUCCGGCGUAGCAGUGAAAUGCGUAGAGAUCGGAAGGAACAUCUGUGGCGAAGGCGACUAUCUGGGCCAACACUGACACUGAGACACGAAAGCGUGGGGAGCAAACAGGAUUAGAUACCCCUGUAGUCCCUGUCUCUUAUCA